AUGGCCAUACCAUGCUGAAUAUACCGGUUGUCGUUAGAUCACCGAAGUCACGCAACGUUGGGCGUGGUCAGUACUUGGGUGGGUGACCACUUGGAAACACCGCGU
This 105-nucleotide ribosomal RNA is filed under the name Caerostris darwini. The record is from RNAcentral. Lineage: Eukaryota; Metazoa; Arthropoda; Arachnida; Araneae; Araneidae.